Molecule: ribosomal RNA, 253 nt
Filed under: uncultured bacterium
Lineage: Bacteria
Description: partial 16S ribosomal RNA
Rfam family: Bacterial small subunit ribosomal RNA
Source: RNAcentral
UACGUAGGGUGCAAGCGUUAAUCGGAAUUACUGGGCGUAAAGCGUGCGCAGGCGGUUCUAUAAGACAGAUGUGAAAUCCCCGGGCUCAACCUGGGAAUUGCAUUCGAAACUGCGAGGCUAGGGUACGGAAGAGGGAAGCGGAAUUUCUGGUGUAGCGGUGAAAUGCGUAGAUAUCAGAAGGAACAUCAGUGGCGAAAGCGGCUUCCUGGUCCAGUACCGACGUUCAGGCACGAAAGCGUGGGGAGCAAACAGG